AUUGAACGCUGGCGGCAGGCCUAACACAUGCAAGUCGAACGGUAACAGGAAGCAGCUUGCUGCUUUGCUGACGAGUGGCGGACGGGUGAGUAAUGUCUGGGAAACUGCCCGAUGGAGGGGGAUAACUACUGGAAACGGUAGCUAAUACCGCAUAACGUCGCAAGACCAAAGAGGGGGACCUUAGGGCCUCUUGCCAUCGGAUGUGCCCAGAUGGGAUUAGCUAGUAGGUGGGGUAACGGCUCACCUAGGCGACGAUCCCUAGCUGGUCUGAGAGGAUGACCAGCCACACUGGAACUGAGACACGGUCCAGACUCCUACGGGAGGCAGCAGUGGGGAAUAUUGCACAAUGGGCGCAAGCCUGAUGCAGCCAUGCCGCGUGUAUGAAGAAGGCCUUCGGGUUGCAAAGUACUUUCAGCGGGGAGGAAGGGAGUAAAGUUAAUACCUUUGCUCAUUGACGUUACCCGCAGAAGAAGCACCGGCUAACUCCAUG
This 490-nucleotide ribosomal RNA is filed under the name uncultured bacterium. RNAcentral describes it as "partial 16S ribosomal RNA". It matches the Rfam family "Bacterial small subunit ribosomal RNA", at positions 30 to 507 of the family's 1533-position model. The record is from RNAcentral.